Molecule: RNA transcript, 2561 nt
Organism: Carlito syrichta (Philippine tarsier)
Lineage: Eukaryota; Metazoa; Chordata; Mammalia; Primates; Tarsiidae
Gene name: axin interactor, dorsalization-associated protein pseudogene
Exons: 3
Source: RefSeq, a predicted model, not a curated record
AUGCCUGUGAGUGCCCUAAAACAGAAGGGCUCUGCAGAAGGUGCAAGCUCGACAGAGAAAUCCGGCUCUGGCAGAUCUGUGCAGCCUCUGGAAAUGCAGCAAGUCCUGAGACACAUCUGGCGGGUCCUUGUUGAGUUUCCAUGGACAGGAACUCACUGGGGAGCUGCCCCUUCUGGGAUUGGGCGGGAGGGGACGGGGCGACGACCAGCCACGUUGGAGGUGACCUGGAGUCUGCUACAGCGCUGGGGCACCAGUUUUAGGAGAGGCGCCGACUUCGAUUCUUGGGGCCAGCUGGUGGAGGCGAUAGAUGAGUAUCAGAUAUUAGCAAGACAUCUACAAAAAGAGGCCCAAGCUCAACACAGUAAUUCUGAAUUCACAGAAGAACAAAAGAAAACCAUAGGCAAAAUUGCAACAUGCUUGGAAUUGCGAAGUGCAGCUUUACGGUCCACACAGCCCCAAGAAGAAUUUAAACUGGAGGACCUGAAGAAGCUAGAACCAAUCCUAAAGAAUAUUCUUACAUAUAAUAAAGAAAUCCCCUUUGAUGUUCAGCCUGUCCCAUUAAGAAGGAUUUUAGCACCUGGUGAAAAAGAGAAUUUAGAAUUUGAAGAAGAUGAAGAAGGGGGUGGUGCUGGAGCAGGGUCUCCUGUUUCUUUUCCUGCUAGAGUACCUGGCACUUUAUUACCAAGAUUGCCAUCAGAACCAGGAAUGACGUUACUCACUAUCAGAAUUGAGAAAAUAGGUUUGAAUGAUGCUGGACAGUGCAUCGAUCCCUAUAUUACAGUUAGUGUAAAGGAUCUGAAUGGCAUAGAUUUAACUCCUGUGCAAGAUACUUCUGUGGCUUCAAGAAAAGAAGAUACAUAUGUUCAUUUUAAUGUGGAUAUUGAACUCCAGAAGCAUGUUGAAAAAUUAACCAAAGGUGCAGCUAUCUUCUUUGAAUUCAAACACUACAAGACUAAAAAAAGAUUUACCAGCACCAGUGUUUUGCUUUCAUGGAAAUGGAUGGAAUUAAACAUGGGUCAAUUGUAAUAGAACUAUACAAGAAACCCACUGACUUUAAAAGAAAGAAAUUACAAUUAUUGACCAAGAAACCACUUUAUCUUCAUCUACAUCAAACAUUGCACAAGGAAUGAUCCUGACAUGAUUAACCUGGAACAUCUGUGAAUUUUACCACUUGGUAGAAACCAUCAUAGCUCUGUGUAGCAUAUUCACCCUUCAACAGACAGGAAGCAAGCUGUACCCAUACCAGUAGGCCAGAGCGAGUCCACUGCAAAGCUGUACCACAGAAUUCAAAGUCCAGCACAUCACUGAUGUAUAAGACCCCUUGGAUACAGGUUUAUUGUAGAUUUCAAAAUAUGUUUUUACUUUUCUAUUAAUUGUGCAAUUAAUAGUCUGUUUUGUAAUUUACCACUACUCCUACCCUGCUUCCUGGAACAAUACUGUUGUGGGUAGGAUGUGCUCAUCUUCAAACUUAAUACAGUAAUAAGAAUGUGCUAGAGUUUACACAUUUGUUCACUUUUGCUCUAAUAUGCUCUUUUGAUUUGAGUUAACUUCAAGUUUUGGGUUGAUGUGGGUAGGAUAGUAUCCAACUGUUUGAGAGGAAUUGAACCAAUUAUGUUGGGCCUCUGAAGGUCUAUCUGGAUAUUUAUAGGUUACUCCUCAGAAGUGGCUUCAGUUCACCCUGAUCUGAUAGUUUUCCUGCUUAGAAAGUGUGCCUUGGCCAGAUCGGUAUCCCAUAUGGGAAUGUUCCUCAGGUUGUAGCUCUAAUUUUUUUCCAGAUAACCCGAUUGUUCUUCUGAAAAUGAGCUUAUUUUUAGUCAUGUUGAUUAGCUAUUCUUCUACAUCACAUUGUUACUCUUUCUGAUAAUGAUUCUUGGGUUAACACUGGAGCCAUCUCAAAAUAAUUAAAAAAUUUUAGAUGGGUUUACAGUAUCUUUUAAAUCAUGUCAUCUAAAAAUAAUUGAGUCAGAUGCUAACGACAUACUGCAGGCAUAACUGCUGUUUUUCUGACAACUGAUUAUGAAACCUUAAAACCUGCAUACCUCUUCUUAUAGUGAUAAGUAUGCAAAAUUUGGAAAGAUAUUCUAUUUUUUUAUAUAGGUAGAUAGGAUUGCCACUUAUUUCUUAUUUAGAUAUAUUGACAUUCAUCCAUAUAAAAUAUGCAGGUCAUUAGCUUAUGAUAAUUUGAAUAUUGACAUUACUUUUGACUUAAUGAGGCAUAAAUAAAACUUUCAUAAUAUAUAUGAGGUGGAUAUUUGAUACACAGAACAUUGAUUUGUGGUGGGCUUUCUGUGGUUGAGAUGUAGAACCCACAUAUUUUAAUAUUCACUAUUUUAAAUGAGCAAUGCAUGAAGGGAAUGCAGUGUCAGUAUCUGGUGUAUUUUUAAACUAGUGUAAUAACCCUAGUCAUACUAUUCAAUAUGUUUGCUUUUUAAAUAAGUAACCGCAAUUAAGUUGUUUUAGCCCUUGCACUUCAAGAGAUCUAGUCUUUACUUUCAGUUGUCUAUUAGGUCAAUUCUGUUUACUAGUUGGAUACUAAUAAAAACUAUAUGAGCCUGAAAAAA